RNAcentral lists this non-coding RNA (30 nucleotides) under Rattus norvegicus (Norway rat). The record is from RNAcentral. Lineage: Eukaryota; Metazoa; Chordata; Mammalia; Rodentia; Muridae.
UUGUUUCUGUAAAUGAAUCAGCAGCUGUUC